RNAcentral lists this ribosomal RNA (579 nucleotides) under Saccharomyces cerevisiae (brewer's yeast). Its description in RNAcentral is "partial large subunit ribosomal RNA". It matches the Rfam family "Eukaryotic large subunit ribosomal RNA", at positions 77 to 670 of the family's 3401-position model. The record is from RNAcentral. Lineage: Eukaryota; Fungi; Ascomycota; Saccharomycetes; Saccharomycetales; Saccharomycetaceae.
GCCUUUAGUACGGCGAGUGAAGCGGCAAAAGCUCAAAUUUGAAAUCUGGUACCUUCGGUGCCCGAGUUGUAAUUUGGAGAGGGCAACUUUGGGGCCGUUCCUUGUCUAUGUUCCUUGGAACAGGACGUCAUAGAGGGUGAGAAUCCCGUGUGGCGAGGAGUGCGGUUCUUUGUAAAGUGCCUUCGAAGAGUCGAGUUGUUUGGGAAUGCAGCUCUAAGUGGGUGGUAAAUUCCAUCUAAAGCUAAAUAUUGGCGAGAGACCGAUAGCGAACAAGUACAGUGAUGGAAAGAUGAAAAGAACUUUGAAAAGAGAGUGAAAAAGUACGUGAAAUUGUUGAAAGGGAAGGGCAUUUGAUCAGACAUGGUGUUUUGUGCCCUCUGCUCCUUGUGGGUAGGGGAAUCUCGCAUUUCACUGGGCCAGCAUCAGUUUUGGUGGCAGGAUAAAUCCAUAGGAAUGUAGCUUGCCUCGGUAAGUAUUAUAGCCUGUGGGAAUACUGCCAGCUGGGACUGAGGACUGCGACGUAAGUCAAGGAUGCUGGCAUAAUGGUUAUAUGCCGCCCGUCUUGAAACCCGGAACAAA